This 1453-nucleotide long non-coding RNA is filed under the name Cyanistes caeruleus (blue tit). RNAcentral describes it as "lncRNA (ENSCCEG00000003174.1)". The record is from RNAcentral. Lineage: Eukaryota; Metazoa; Chordata; Aves; Passeriformes; Paridae.
AUGGGAGAAAUUUCUAAUGGGAGAAAUUACUUUUGUUUAAAAAAGCAGACACAGAAUCACGGUAAUAGGUUUAAAGAAACAGCCCUGACUGAAAAACACAUAGAGCUGGAACAGAGAACUGAGAUAUUCAUAUCAGGUUCUGUUGGGGCUGAUCUGCAGUACAUGGCUUGUCAUGAGAUUUUCGCAUGUUUGUUUGUAGGUGCUGUUUCUUUUCAACGUUUAUGUUCUGAAAUGAAAGGUACAGAGUUUUGGGGAAGCUGGCAAGUCACUUGUCACUGUCCUGGAGUAGGAGCAGAGUGCUAUGAGCCUAGAAAAAAGGCCAAUGGUACUCAGAAUAAUCAGUCUCUCCCCAGGCUGCAGCUUCUGGGAAGAUGUGUCCAAUCCCUCUCCUGUCCCCAAAGCAGUCCCCUCAGUUGGGACGUACAGUACCAGUUUCUCCUUUUGUGGAGGUAAGAUGACCACGCUGCCUUAUAGACCCUGUGCUCCUGGAGUCUUGGGUGCCUGGUGAGAGCGGGGACAAAUGUGGUGGAUGCAUCCAUUCAACACAUGUUGAAGCUCCUCUGGUCUUCCCCAGCUCAUGCCCACAGCAGAAGCAGCUGUGCAAGUGGACUGUGACUGCUUCAUACCAUCAUGGAUCUCAUGACAGGGUGGUGAUCUCUUUCUGGGACUCUGUCUCCCAGGAAUUGGCUGUGAUGACCAUGCCAGACUCCUGCUUGACCUGAGUAAGUGACUCAAUGAUGGCUCCUCAAGUUUCAUGGCUCCUCAGGAUGAGACUCUCAUACUGCCAAAAACAACUCUUGGUCCAUGCUUACAGUCCAGCCCACGCGCAGCUGCUCAGUCCUUGCCCCAACCACAGUUUGCCAUGUCCCUGCUCUCCUGUAUAGCAGCAGAGGCUGGGAUGAUGGAUAGGGUAUUGCUAGGGAGGAUAUAGGUGUGUUGGACUCCCAGCAGUUCUGUGAGCAGAGUGAACUGUAUGUGUGGAGAAGCAGACUUGUUCAUGUUUCUCAGCACUAGAGAAUACCCCCUACCACCCUCUCCCCAGCAGAGGGGUGAGGGAUUCAGCCCAAAAUUCCUGAGCUCAGUUUGCUUCAGCUUUUCUGGAAUUUUCAUGCAGGGGAUUUAGACUGCAAAAAAAUGUUUUUGCAAGUUAGGAAUCAGGGUUAGGAGCCUCAUUAGCUGUUACAGAGAAGACAGCAGUGACAGACUGGGGAAGGGCAGAGGAAUUAAGAGAAAUUCAGAGAGAAGCUGUGGACUUGUGCAAAGCACUGGAUGUCUUCAGGGUCACUCUCUCCCUCCUAUCCCAGCCUAGCAUAGUGCAGAGGUUCUAUUGAUGUCUGUGAAAAGGAGGAGUUGUGAGCAAGGGGCUGUGCUGCUUUAGCAUAUGCAUGCCAGGUAAUGUGCUGGUGAAUACCAAAGAAAAGCUGAUGAAAAUCCAGGGAUAUGCUAAUGCAAA